AGCAGUCGCCGCGGUAAUACGUAGGGUGCAAGCGUUAAUCGGAAUUACUGGGCGUAAAGCGUGCGCAGGCGGUUUGUUAAGACAGAUGUGAAAUCCCCGGGCUCAACCUGGGAACUGCAUUUGUGACUGGCAAGCUAGAGUGUGGCAGAGGGGGGUGGAAUUCCGCGUGUAGCAGUGAAAUGCGUAGAUAUGCGGAGGAACACCGAUGGCGAAGGCAGCCCCCUGGGCCAACACUGACGCUCAUGCACGAAAGCGUGGGGAGCAAACAGGAUUAGAUACCCCGGUAGUCCCUGUCUCUUAUAC
This 303-nucleotide ribosomal RNA is filed under the name uncultured bacterium. Its description in RNAcentral is "partial 16S ribosomal RNA". It matches the Rfam family "Bacterial small subunit ribosomal RNA", at positions 507 to 807 of the family's 1533-position model. The record is from RNAcentral.